RNAcentral lists this ribosomal RNA (497 nucleotides) under uncultured bacterium. Its description in RNAcentral is "partial 16S ribosomal RNA". It matches the Rfam family "Bacterial small subunit ribosomal RNA", at positions 28 to 507 of the family's 1533-position model. The record is from RNAcentral.
GAUGAACGCUGGCGGCGUGCCUAAUACAUGCAAGUCGAGCGAACGGACGAGAAGCUUGCUUCUCUGAUGUUAGCGGCGGACGGGUGAGUAACACGUGGAUAACCUACCUAUAAGACUGGGAUAACUUCGGGAAACCGGAGCUAAUACCGGAUGAUAUUUUGAACCGCAUGGUUCAAAAGUGAAAGACGGUCUUGCUGUCACUUAUAGAUGGAUCCGCGCUGCAUUAGCUAGUUGGUAAGGUAACGGCUUACCAAGGCAACGAUGCAUAGCCGACCUGAGAGGGUGAUCGGCCACACUGGAACUGAGACACGGUCCAGACUCCUACGGGAGGCAGCAGUAGGGAAUCUUCCGCAAUGGGCGAAAGCCUGACGGAGCAACGCCGCGUGAGUGAUGAAGGUCUUCGGAUCGUAAAACUCUGUUAUUAGGGAAGAACAAAUGUGUAAGUAACUGUGCACAUCUUGACGGUACCCAAUCAGAAAGCCACGGCUAACUACGUG